GGGGAAUAUUGGGCAAUGGACGCAAGUCUGACCCAGCGACGCCGCGUGAGGGAUGAAGGCCUUCGGGUUGUAAACCUCUUUCAGUAGGGAAGAAGCGAAAGUGACGGUACCUACAAAAGAAGCACCGGCUAACUAUGUGCCAGCAGCCGCGGUAAUACAUAGGGUGCAAGCGUUGUCCGGAUUUAUUGGGCGUAAAGAACUCGUAGGUGGUUUGUUACGUCGGAUGUGAAACUCUGGGGCUCAACCCCAGACCUGCAUCCGAUACGGGCAGACUAGAGUGUGGUAGGGGAGACUGGAAUUCCUGGUGUAGCGGUGGAAUGCGCAGAUAUCAGGAGGAACACCAAUGGCGAAGGCAGGUCUCUGGGCCAUUACUGACACUGAGGAGUGAAAGUGUGGGGAGCGAACAGGA
Molecule: ribosomal RNA, 409 nt
Filed under: uncultured Sporichthyaceae bacterium
Lineage: Bacteria; Bacillati; Actinomycetota; Actinomycetes; Sporichthyales; Sporichthyaceae
Description: bacterial SSU rRNA
Rfam family: Bacterial small subunit ribosomal RNA
Source: RNAcentral